CAUUUCAUCCCCUCUGCAGAGUUAUGACUGAGUGAACUUGAUCUCAGAUUCUGUUCCCAACUCUGAGUGUUGCAGAAUUAGUUCCAGUUGCCUGCCUUCCCUUUGAUAUUCACUUGACUCAGAGAAGAGGCCAGAUCUACUUUUUCACUCAUCUGGGGGGAUUAAAAAACCACUACUCUAUUCCAGAAGAUUCCUGACGCUUUUCCUUGGAUUAUUUGCAUUUCUGUCAACGGCCCUGUAAUAUCUUGGGGUAGCACUGCAGUUCUCCUGAGGAGUGAAUGUCCAUCAGCAGCAGAAAGUGCACUUGCUCCCUGAAAGGGCACCGGGAUCCUUGGAACAGGCUCCAUGUUAGCGCUGGCAAAAGGAUGAAUGCAGCAUUCCGUGAGGAAUAUUUUUCUGGAGAGUGGACUAAAUGAUGAAUGGUGGUCUGGGCAAGCUUCGGACUAAUUGGAGCAAGGAGAAUGG
This 465-nucleotide long non-coding RNA is filed under the name Homo sapiens (human). RNAcentral's name for it is "HSALNT0157982". Lineage: Eukaryota; Metazoa; Chordata; Mammalia; Primates; Hominidae. The record is from RNAcentral.